AUCUUAGUACCCGGAGGAAGAGAAAGAAAAAUCGAUUCCCUGAGUAGCGGCGAGCGAAACGGGAAGAGCCCAAACCAACAAGCUUGCUUGGUGGGGUUGUAGGACACUCUAUACGGAGUUACAAAAGAACAUGUUAGACGAAUCAUCUGGAAAGAUGAAUCAAAGAAGGUAAUAAUCCUGUAGUCGAAAACAUAUUCUCUCUUGAGUGGAUCCUGAGUACGACGGAGCACGUGAAAUUCCGUCGGAAUCUGGGAGGACCAUCUCCUAAGGCUAAAUACUCUCUAGUGACCGAUAGUGAACCAGUACCGUGAGGGAAAGGUGAAAAGUACCCCGGAAGGGGAGUGAAAGAGAACUUGAAACCGUGUGCUUACAAGUAGUCAGAGCCCGUUAAUGGGUGAUGGCGUGCCUUUUGUAGAAUGAACCGGCGAGUUACGAUCUGAUGCAAGGUUAAGCAGCAAAUGUGGAGCCGCAGCGAAAGCGAGUCUGAAUAGGGCGUUGAGUAUUUGGUCGUAGACCCGAAACCAGGUGAU
RNAcentral lists this ribosomal RNA (530 nucleotides) under Staphylococcus epidermidis. RNAcentral describes it as "partial 23S ribosomal RNA". It matches the Rfam family "Bacterial large subunit ribosomal RNA", at positions 200 to 729 of the family's 2925-position model. Lineage: Bacteria; Bacillati; Bacillota; Bacilli; Caryophanales; Staphylococcaceae. The record is from RNAcentral.